This 257-nucleotide ribosomal RNA is filed under the name uncultured bacterium. RNAcentral describes it as "partial 16S ribosomal RNA". It matches the Rfam family "Bacterial small subunit ribosomal RNA", at positions 524 to 776 of the family's 1533-position model. The record is from RNAcentral.
GACAGAGGAUGCAAGCGUUAUCGGAAUGAUUGGGCGGUAAAGCGUCUGUAGGUGGCCUUUUUAAGUCCGCCGUCAAAAUCCCAGGGCGUCAACCCUGGACAGGCGGUGGAAACUACCAAGCUGGAGUACGGGUAGGGGCAGAGGGAAUUUCCGGUGGAGCGGUGAAAUGCGUAGAGAUCGGAAAGAACACCAACGGCGAAAGCACUCUGCUGGGCCGACACUGACACUGAGAGACGAAAGCUAGGGGAGCGAAUGGG